UCCACGAACAAAAAACCUUUAUAAAUUCCAUAAACUCUUUCAAAUUUUAAAAUCAUCAUAAUGUUAAAUUCCUAAAAGAAUGUCAAAAGACAGUUGCAUCCUCGGCUUCAUGCCUGCAAAUAUAUCAAAAGGUCUCCGACGAUGAAUAUUUAGAUCUGACAAUAGAUCGGAUGGUGUGAAGCAGCAAGGGCGACGAGGUUAAUCGUGAAUCUUGAUGGUGGUGAAUCGUGAAUCAUCGGAGCCGGCAAAUCCGUUUUUCCGAUGGUAUCCUCCGUGGAGGGCGAUGCUUGUGGUGGUGUGAAGCAACAGGGGCGACAGAGGCUAGUGUGGUGGUUAUCGGCGGUGGUGGUGGCCUGCCCGGUGGUGGAGGUGUUCGUUCGUGGUGGUGGGUUUCAAUGUUGGUGGAUGUUUUGGUGUUCGGGGAUGGAGGUGAGAAGUGGCGGAGGUGAGACGGUGGUGGUGGGUGAUCGGCGAUGGAGGUGAGAUGGUGGGACCAACCAGGCAUUUAACCAGAGGGACCAACCAGGCAUUUAACUCUUUUUUUAGUUUAAUAUUUUUAACGAACACGCCGACACUCUUUUGAACAUAAUUUUUAACUUUUUUUCUUUGCUAUAACGAGGGUGCCAAAACUGACCAAAUUUCUAUUGUUUUCUUUUUCGUUUACCUUAAUUUUACCUUUGUUAUUUAUUAUAUCGUUUUAUCUUUUGUUAUUACUUUGAUGUUCAGAGCCGAGUUACGGCGUAAAUAACAUAACCCAUUAAUAUAUCAUUUUAAUUAAUUGUAUAAAUUUAUUUAUCGGUUGUCAUGAUGUGCAAUACGUUCUGAAAUCCAACCGUAUCCCUAUGCAAUGCACGGGUAACUACGACCCUAGUUUACUCUACAUCACAACGCUUAUAAACCAACAGUUUCAAUGAAUCCUUUAAUAUUAAGAAGAUAGUACAUGGUUAACAAUUUAUUGAGAAGAUAUUACAUGGUUAACAAUUUAAUUUAGUACAUAGACACAUAAAGGGAUUCAGGCAUUGUGCCAUACCAUUUGGAUUCCAUUCCUGGCACUUUGCAUAACAGCUUUUAACGUUGCACUGAAAAACUGUAAUUUUUUUCGUGCAAAGUUUAUUUUUAUCACCUGGUGCGUCAUCUCCUGCCCUCAUAAAAAAGUUAAAUAAAUGAGUAAAUUAUCAUUUUAGUCCCUAAGGUUUGUUCAAAUUUUUCAUUUUAGUUCAAAUAGUUUUUUUUUCUCCUCUGAGUCCCUGACUUUUCUUUUUUGUUGUCAUUUUGAUCACAUUGCAUAACUUAGUCUAAAAACCUGUUAUGACCAGCGGUAUUUUUGUCAUUAACAAAAAAGAAAGAUUUCUAUAUUGCCAUUUUUGUCCAAAACUAUUUUUAUAUAUAUUUUCUAAAUUCCACUUUUAUACAGAAGAUCACACAUACAUCAUACAGUUACUCCUAUACCCAGCAACGCCAUCAAGCACUGCCAUCAACCACUCGUCGCCAUUGUUACACAUGCAUCCCCAACAUCAUCCACCGCCCCCUUCACCUCCACCUCUACCAACCGCCCCCAUCACCUCUACCAACCGCCGCCAUCACCGCCUCUCACCACCACCACUACCGCCACAAUCCCCCAACACCAACAUCCCCACCUUGAACCCUUUAAUACAAAGUCCCUCCUUCAAAAAAUGUCACCAACAUCCCCACCGUUGACAGCCGACGGCUUUAGCCGGAAUAAUAUACGAAAUCCAAACUUUUUAAACUCAAAAUUUCGCACAGUAAGGGUAUCACACAAAAAAACUGUGAUGGGGCUUUUGAUCCCCGAUAGAAACUGAAUAGAAAGGUGCAUACGAAAACUUACGGGUUGCAUAUUACGUGGUUUCCGGCGAAGACGAGCUCCGGCGACGGUGCAGCUUGAUGAAGAAAAUGAAACAGAGAAGUUGGAGUGAAACAGAGAACACCGGUUUCCGGCGAAGACGUACUCCGGCGACGGUGGAUGGAGGUGGUGGUUGAUUACAGUGAUGGAGAUGGUGGCGGCGGCGUCGGCUGGUGGUUCAUCUUAUGGAUUAGCCUGACCAAGUUUUGCACUGAAGGUAUUUGAUGAAUUGUCUCUGAAAGUUUGUUAUGCAAGACAAGUGUUUCUUUCGCAUUCAAGCUUUACACUGAAGGUGUUUCAUGAUUUGUCUUUGAGAGUGUGUCUUAUUUGAGAGAGAGAUAAGGAAGAGAGAGUAAUUAGAUUAUGCAUUAAAGACUUGUUCUUUAUACUUUUGUGUAUGUAAGACAUGUACUUUGUGUGUAAAUGAUUAAAAUGCCCUUAUACUUAAUGGAAUUUGUGAAUGGUGUUAAAAA
This is a long non-coding RNA of Helianthus annuus (common sunflower), 2334 nucleotides long. RefSeq lists it as uncharacterized. The transcript is spliced from 2 exons. Lineage: Eukaryota; Viridiplantae; Streptophyta; Magnoliopsida; Asterales; Asteraceae. The record is from RefSeq and is a predicted model, not a curated record.